This 1560-nucleotide long non-coding RNA is filed under the name Homo sapiens (human). RNAcentral describes it as "PREDICTED lncRNA (TCONS_00188987)". The stretch from base 753 to 1028 matches the Rfam family "SOX2 overlapping transcript exon 3". Lineage: Eukaryota; Metazoa; Chordata; Mammalia; Primates; Hominidae. The record is from RNAcentral.
GUCGUAAAAGGGGACGCGGAGGAGAAGGAAAGUCGCUCAAGCAGUGGACAGAGCGGAGAAAGCGACUUCGGGUUGGUUGAAGGUUCAGCCUGAGAAAACUCCUGAGCAUGUGCGAAAAAGAAAAGAAGAAAAGAAAAGUAAAGAAAAGAAAAAAGGAAAAAGGGCAAGCUCCUGAGUGGAUCUCUCAGGGAGCCACCAGACAGUGAAUGAAGGAGGGAAGAAAGGAGAGACAGAGAAAAUAUGGAUUUCCUCAUGGUUGUGAUUCCUCUUCACUCUUUUGAAUUUGGAAGGAUGGCAUACACAUCUGAAAAAUACCACUACUUCCUUCAUUGGACUGCAAGGUAUUUCUGUUUGGAAAAGUAAUGGAGUCCAGUCAACUUCAUUGAUCGCCAAGGACUGUCAAAAUUAUAAAACUUGCUGUGGAGCUCUGACAUGCCAGAAGCCGCUAGAAAAAGAAGUUUGACAUUCAGAAACUUAUCAAGAGGUUCUACUCUUUGGAUAGAGACCAAAAUCAUACUUUGAAAAAGCCUGACAGGUUUCUUCGGAAAAGUGGCCAUCCAUGGAAUGAAUGAAAUGUUCUCUUUCUAUUCCACCUCUAGAGACCAUCAAAAAACAAUGGCUCAUAAUGCUUUUAGAACAGAAACUGAAGUUGUAUACUGUGCAUAUGUAAUCCUACACAAGAGGAAGGCAAUGUUUAAAGCUGCUGUCACCUCUUAGGGAAAAAACUGGAAUUCUGAGUCAAGGGAUUGCAGUGGCAAAGCUAGGCUAGGUCUUGGAGGCUGGUGUAAGGCGAUGUGGGUGAAGGCAGGAGGCUGAUGGAAAGACUGGGGGGAAGAAAAGCCGAAAUGGAUUCACGGUGCCUUGGAUGAAGGACGAGAGGGGAACUGCAAGCUCCUUCAACUGGUUCUGUCCGGUGAGAAGUGAUCAAGCUUGGGCUGACAAGAGGCUCAGGGAGCCCUCACGUUCUUUCGCUUUUUUACCUGCCAAUCAAACUGCUACAAGACAACACCCUGAUCUGGCAUGGACAUCGCGGGUCCAAGCCUGUAGCCCCAAAUCGGAUAAUCUCUGCAGCUGAUAACAAGCAAAAGAGAAGCCAGGCAACAGCCAUAUUAAAGAAGAAAACAAUCAACUCUGAGUCUCAAUACCUUCACAGAGGUGAAGAAGCAGCAACCAAAUGAAUUAGACAGCAACAUGAUUCCUAGAGAAUGGCAAGACCAAUUCUUCAACUACUUCUUCAGCAUUUCUGAAACAUAUGGAAGAUGGCCCAUUGUGCUCUCUUAAUUCUUUGAUAAUCUGGACAUUGACUUUUCCAUUAUAUGACCUGGGCUUGUGGGCAUCAUGUCAUAAUGCACCUGUUCAGACAUCUCCCUGUACCAAUAUGGAUCACUUGAAGAGACUCCUUUGCCCCCAUCAAAAAGGAUACAGUUGUGUAUCUCUUCCAUUUUUGUUUACAGUGCCUAAAAUUAUUUGAGCAGUUUUUCACCUCUUCUCUGAUAAACACCUUAUUAGUCCUUAAAAAGAAAAGAAAAAAGGAAAAUAAAACUUUUAUUGAGAUCCUAA